ACGAUGCCUAUGCAGGAUGGUCUGUCAUUGAUGGUGGUCUCUGAAUACACCACGAGGACUAAGCAAGUGUGGCGGCUCCCAGCUCUUAUUCAUGCGCUGGUUCGCCGCGCAAAUACUCUCCUGCCACUCUGCUCCUGUUUCCUUCAGGGAUGCUGCUGCACACACUGGCUCUCGCUGUAAUCCUCCUGCUGGUUCAGGUGGAAGACACGGCAGGGACCAUAUCGCCGUGCCAGGUGGAUUGCCGCCACUAUGGGUCAGCACUCGGGAACUUGGCUGACGAUCCCUUCCACUGCAACAUGUAUUAUGUGUGCUUCGAUUGGUUCACCUAUAGCACGAUCCCGUUCACU
Scylla paramamosain (green mud crab) is the source of this 347-nucleotide long non-coding RNA. RefSeq lists it as uncharacterized. The record is from RefSeq and is a predicted model, not a curated record. NCBI's taxonomy places the organism in Eukaryota, Metazoa, Arthropoda, Malacostraca, Decapoda, Portunidae. The transcript has 4 exons.